CGAACGCUGGCGGCGCGCUUACCACAUGCAAGUCGAACGGAAAGGCCCUGCUUUUGUGGGGUGCUCGAGUGGCGAACGGGUGAGUAACACGUGAGUAACCUGCCCUUGACUUUGGGAUAACUUCAGGAAACUGGGGCUAAUACCGGAUAGGAGCUCCUGCUGCAUGGUGGGGGUUGGAAAGUUUCGGCGGUUGGGGAUGGACUCGCGGCUUAUCAGCUUGUUGGUGGGGUAGUGGCUUACCAAGGCUUUGACGGGUAGCCGGCCUGAGAGGGUGACCGGCCACAUUGGGACUGAGAUACGGCCCAGACUCCUACGGGAGGCAGCAGUGGGGAAUAUUGCACAAUGGGCGGAAGCCUGAUGCAGCAACGCCGCGUGCGGGAUGACGGCCUUCGGGUUGUAAACCGCUUUCGCCUGUGACGAAGCGUGAGUGACGGUAAUGGGUAAAGAAGCACCGGCUAACUACGUG
RNAcentral lists this ribosomal RNA (466 nucleotides) under uncultured bacterium. RNAcentral describes it as "partial 16S ribosomal RNA". It matches the Rfam family "Bacterial small subunit ribosomal RNA", at positions 30 to 507 of the family's 1533-position model. The record is from RNAcentral.